RNAcentral lists this non-coding RNA (22 nucleotides) under Arabidopsis thaliana (thale cress). The record is from RNAcentral. Lineage: Eukaryota; Viridiplantae; Streptophyta; Magnoliopsida; Brassicales; Brassicaceae.
UGUUUGGGAGUAGCCAUAUAGC